UUGUUAAUAUCCCCAGUAAUAUUUUUUUAUUUUUUGCUUGGCAGGCAUUUUCUUGAAGUCAAGCUUGACAAGUCAGCAUGAAGAGUUCUCCACAAGUAGCAGAUCAAACAGAUCAAAAUAUUGCCAUAAAAACAGUUUCUGUUAGACUCUGAGACAUGCAAGGGAAAGCCGUGUGAGGACAGAGCCAGAAGACAGCCACCUGCUGGGAGGAGAGUCUCACCAGAAACUGAAUCUUCCAGCACCUUGAUGCAGGACCUCUAGCUUCUAAAACUGUGAUCUCACUUGACGGUUCCAGUAGAAUGUUCCACAGACAUCUCAGACUUCGCAGGCACGGGCCAGGGGCUUAAAUGGAGGAAGAAAAACCAGUUUCCGAUACCUGAUUUUCCCCAUAUGACAGAGACACAUUGCUUCUCUAUUUUCACUACACAACAGUACGCUGAUGGGAUCCACUCAGAGUGCACGUGAAAUCCAG
Molecule: long non-coding RNA, 472 nt
Filed under: Mustela putorius furo (domestic ferret)
Lineage: Eukaryota; Metazoa; Chordata; Mammalia; Carnivora; Mustelidae
Description: lncRNA (ENSMPUG00000029293.1)
Source: RNAcentral